GCGACAGUAGUACAGUUGGUAGUACGCCACCUUGCCAAGGUGGAGGUCGCGGGUUCGAGCCCCGUCUGUCGCUC
This 74-nucleotide transfer RNA is filed under the name uncultured Clostridium sp. Its description in RNAcentral is "tRNA-Gly(gcc)". It matches the Rfam family "tRNA". Rfam says of the family: Transfer RNA (tRNA) molecules are approximately 80 nucleotides in length. Their secondary structure includes four short double-helical elements and three loops (D, anti-codon, and T loops). Lineage: Bacteria; Bacillati; Bacillota; Clostridia; Eubacteriales; Clostridiaceae. The record is from RNAcentral.